AAGUCGUAACAAGGUUUCCGUAGGUGAACCUGCGGAAGGAUCAUUACCGAGUUAGGGUGCUCUUCGUGCCCGACCUCCAACCCUUUGUCUACCUGACCAGAUGUUGCUUCGGCAGGCCCGCCGCCCCGCGAGGGGCAGCCGCCGGGGGUCCUUACCGGCCCCGGGUCCGUGCCUGUCGAUGGCCCUUCUAAAACUCUUGCUUAAACGUGUCGUCUGAGUAAAACAAACAAAAUAAAAACAAAACUUUCAACAACGGAUCUCUUGGUUCUG
Molecule: unclassified non-coding RNA, 270 nt
Rfam family: Eukaryotic small subunit ribosomal RNA (bases 1-46)